GAUGAACGCUGGCGGCGUGCCUAAUACAUGCAAGUCGAGCGAACAGACGAGGAGCUUGCUCCUCUGACGUUAGCGGCGGACGGGUGAGUAACACGUGGAUAACCUACCUAUAAGACUGGGAUAACUUCGGGAAACCGGAGCUAAUACCGGAUAAUAUAUUGAACCGCAUGGUUCAAUAGUGAAAGACGGUUUUGCUGUCACUUAUAGAUGGAUCCGCGCCGCAUUAGCUAGUUGGUAAGGUAACGGCUUACCAAGGCAACGAUGCGUAGCCGACCUGAGAGGGGGACCGGCCCCCCGGAAAUUGGGAACGGUCCCAACCCCCUCGGGGGGGCAGGGGUGGGGAAUUUUCCGCAAGGGGCGAAAGCCUGACGGAGCAACCCCGGGUGGGUGAUGAAGGUCUUCGGAUCGUAAAACUCUUUUAUUAGGGAAAAACAAAUGUGUAAGUAACUAUGCCCGUCUUGACGGUACCAAAUCAAAAAGCCCCGGCUAACUGCGU
This 496-nucleotide ribosomal RNA is filed under the name uncultured bacterium. RNAcentral's name for it is "partial 16S ribosomal RNA". It matches the Rfam family "Bacterial small subunit ribosomal RNA", at positions 28 to 506 of the family's 1533-position model. The record is from RNAcentral.